This 436-nucleotide ribosomal RNA is filed under the name uncultured bacterium. RNAcentral describes it as "partial 16S ribosomal RNA". It matches the Rfam family "Bacterial small subunit ribosomal RNA", at positions 29 to 484 of the family's 1533-position model. The record is from RNAcentral.
AACGAACGCUGGCGGCAUGCCUAACACAUGCAAGUCGAACGCGUGUAGCAAUACACGAGUGGCGGACGGGUGAGUAACGCGUGGGAACCUGCCCAAUGGUAGGGAAUAACUGCGGGAAACUGCAGCUAAUACCCUAUGCUCCCUACGGGGGAAAGAUUUAUCGCCAUUGGAGGGGCCCGCGUCGGAUUAGCUAGUUGGCGGGGUAACGGCCCACCAAGGCUACGAUCCGUAGCUGGUCUGAGAGGAUGAUCAGCCACACUGGGACUGAGAUACGGUCCAGACUCCUACGGGAGGCAGCAGUGAGGAAUAUUGGUCAAUGGCCGAAAGGCUGAACCAGCAACGCCGCGUGAGGGAUGAAGGUCUAAGGAUUGUAAACCUCUGUUAGGAGGGACGAAUAGUUCCGUAACGAACUUACGGGAUUUGACGGUACCUCCAG